AGAGUUUGAUCCUGGCUCAGUAUUGAACGCUGGCGGCAUGCCUUACACAUGCAAGUCGAACGGCAACGCGGGGCAACCUGGCGGCGAGUGGCGAACGGUGAGUAAUAUAUCGGAACAUACCUAGAGUGGGGGAUAACGUAGCGAAAGUUACGCUAAUACCGCAUACGCACUAAGGUGGAAAGUGGGGGAUUCGCAAGAACCUCAUGCUCAUGGAGUGGCCGAUAUCUGAUUAGCUAGUUGGUGAGGUAAAGGCUCACCAAGGCGACGAUCAGUAGCUGGUUUGAGAGAACGACCAGCCACACUGGAACUGAGACACGGUCCAGACUCCUACGGGAGGCAGCAGUGGGAAUUUUGGACAAUGGGGGCAACCCUGAUCCAGCAAUGCCGCGUGAGUGAAGAAGGCCUUCGGGUUGUAAAGCUCUUUUGUCAGGGAAGAAACGGUGAUUUCUAAUACAGAUUGCUAAUGACGGUACCUGAAGAAUAAGCACCGGCUAACUACGUG
This 502-nucleotide ribosomal RNA is filed under the name uncultured bacterium. Its description in RNAcentral is "bacterial SSU rRNA". It matches the Rfam family "Bacterial small subunit ribosomal RNA", at positions 8 to 507 of the family's 1533-position model. The record is from RNAcentral.